RNAcentral lists this transfer RNA (73 nucleotides) under Actinomycetota bacterium. Its description in RNAcentral is "Actinobacteria bacterium (soil metagenome) tRNA-Val". It matches the Rfam family "tRNA". From Rfam's summary of the family: Transfer RNA (tRNA) molecules are approximately 80 nucleotides in length. Their secondary structure includes four short double-helical elements and three loops (D, anti-codon, and T loops). Further hydrogen bonds mediate the characteristic L-shaped molecular structure. tRNAs have two regions of fundamental functional importance: the anti-codon, which is responsible for specific mRNA codon recognition, and the 3' end, to which the tRNAs corresponding amino acid is attached (by aminoacyl-tRNA synthetases). tRNAs cope with the degeneracy of the genetic code in two manners: having more than one tRNA (with a specific anti-codon) for a particular amino acid; and 'wobble' base-pairing, i.e. permitting non-standard base-pairing at the 3rd anti-codon position. The record is from RNAcentral. Lineage: Bacteria; Bacillati; Actinomycetota.
GUUCGGUUAGCUCAGCUGGAAGAGCGCUGCGCCCACACCGCAGAGGACGGCGGUUCGAGCCCGUCACCGAGCA